CACUGUCUAACUGAAUAGGCAUUCCCCCAUCACUAACUCCCAUUACGUUACUAAAACUAUCACGACUUAGCUCUAACUUAGUUCCGUUCAAUUCUAUUGUGUAAUUGCAUGUGUCGAUUCUCUCAACUAACCAACUGCAUAGUUUCCUUUUUAGCCUUCCACAAUUCAGCUGUAUCAGUUUGCCCAAUCCCAUCUCACGUACUGCUUCUUUUUGUUCCUCUGUCAAUUUCGCCACCACGGCUGCAAGCCUGUCUGGAGCACAUCUGGUGAGAAACUUUGCUUCAGAUCCCACAUAUUUAUCCCCUCGAUAAUGUUGACUUAUAUAUUCACUUUUCCUCUCAGGUGGCAAAUUCUUAAAUUCUAGUCCAAUUUCCUUGCGUACCUACGUUAUGCCAAUUGACAUUAUUAUGUCUUUUUUUCAAAACACCCUAAAAUGCAUGAUUUAUAUUACCAACAAUACUUCGAAUUGACUAACCUCUUUCGUAAUGCAUGCUCGUCCAUCUAUUGCCUAUUAAAAUAAAACCAGCUCAAUGUAACAGAACAUAAUCCUUCGUUAAAUUACAUUAACAAUUUACAAACUUUUCCUGCUCUUUUCACAAUUUUCCAUCCGUACUCCUUGCCACAAAUCCUUAUUCACAUCAACAAUAUUUUACCUUUGUGCUUCUAUAGCCGCCUUUCUUCUCUAUCCACUUAAGUAACCUCUUUAUCUCUGACCCAUUCCAUAGUGCUACUGGGCAGAUUGAUCUAUCUCACCGAAUUCCUCCAUACACAAUUGAAUUAAAGUACAAUAUCUGACACAAGAUAUACCCACACACAUAAUAUAUUUCAUAACAGUAUACAAAUGGUUUAUUGAAAAUCAAAUAAUACACCCAAAUCAGUUACAUAUUCAGCGUAAGUGCAAAUAGAUUAAUAAUUUAUUACCUCCAAGUAUAACACACAACCACCAACAUAUGCUAGCUUCUCUUCCUUGUACCUGAUAAUACCUUGCAUCAAUCUAUCGAAGCAAAAUGUUGCCCAGUUCAUCUUCCUUAUAUAGUCAACAUCGAUCACAGAAAACAAAAAUGAUGAACUUAUAUGUACCCCAAUUGGAGAACAUAGUACACUGCAUAAUGUGAACAGCAUAAAUGACACUUUGAAAUUCUCGUCGGCCUGCCUACAAAUUCCACUGGAUGUUGCAUUAAACUUGUCUAAGUAUACUGCCACUCGUGACUUAUCACUGUCUAACUGAAUAGGCAUUCCCCCAUCACUAACUCCCAUUACGUUACUAAAACUAUCACGACUUAGCUCUAACUUAGUUCCGUUCAAUUCUAUUGUGUAAUUGCAUGUGUCGAUUCUCUCAACUAACCAACUGCAUAGUUUCCUUUUUAGCCUUCCACAAUUCAGCUGUAUCAGUUUGCCCAAUCCCAUCUCACGUACUGCUUCUUUUUGUUCCUCUGUCAAUUUCGCCACCACGGCUGCAAGCCUGUCUGGAGCACAUCUGGUGAGAAACUUUGCUUCAGAUCCCACAUAUUUAUCCCCUCGAUAAUGUUGACUUAUAUAUUCACUUUUCCUCUCAGGUGGCAAAUUCUUAAAUUCUAGUCCAAUUUCCUUG
Molecule: long non-coding RNA, 1591 nt
Filed under: Citrus sinensis (sweet orange)
Lineage: Eukaryota; Viridiplantae; Streptophyta; Magnoliopsida; Sapindales; Rutaceae
Description: long non-coding RNA (CSIN_LNC001402)
Source: RNAcentral